This 285-nucleotide ribosomal RNA is filed under the name Rhodococcus sp. (in: high G+C Gram-positive bacteria). Its description in RNAcentral is "Rhodococcus sp. partial 16S ribosomal RNA". It matches the Rfam family "Bacterial small subunit ribosomal RNA", at positions 508 to 792 of the family's 1533-position model. The record is from RNAcentral. Lineage: Bacteria; Bacillati; Actinomycetota; Actinomycetes; Mycobacteriales; Nocardiaceae.
CCAGCAGCCGCGGUAAUACGUAGGGUGCGAGCGUUGUCCGGAAUUACUGGGCGUAAAGAGCUCGUAGGCGGUUUGUCGCGUCGUCUGUGAAAUCCCGCAGCUCAACUGCGGGCUUGCAGGCGAUACGGGCAGACUCGAGUACUGCAGGGGAGACUGGAAUUCCUGGUGUAGCGGUGAAAUGCGCAGAUAUCAGGAGGAACACCGGUGGCGAAGGCGGGUCUCUGGGCAGUAACUGACGCUGAGGAGCGAAAGCGUGGGUAGCGAACAGGAUUAGAUACCCUGGUA